AUUGAACGCUGGCGGCAGGCCUAACACAUGCAAGUCGAACGAGUGGCGGACGGGUGAGUAAUGUCUGGGAAACUGCCUGAUGGAGGGGGAUAACUACUGGAAACGGUAGCUAAUACCGCAUACCAUCGGAUGUGCCCAGAUGGGAUUAGCUAGUAGGUGGGGUAACGGCUCACCUAGGCGACGAUCCCUAGCUGGUCUGAGAGGAUGACCAGCAAACAUGGAAAUGAGACAGGGUCCAGACUCCAACGGGAGGAAGCAGUGGGGAAUAUGGAAAAAUGGGCGCAAGCCUGAUGCAGCCAGGCGGCGUGGAUGAAGAAGGCCUUGGGGUUGUAAAGUACUUUCAGCGGGGAGGCGUUACCCGCAGAAGAAGCACCGGCUAACUCCGUGCCAGCAGCCGCGGUAAUA
Molecule: ribosomal RNA, 405 nt
Filed under: uncultured bacterium
Lineage: Bacteria
Description: partial 16S ribosomal RNA
Rfam family: Bacterial small subunit ribosomal RNA
Source: RNAcentral